UCCGUAGGCGGGCUAAUAAGUCAGGGGUGAAAUCCCACAGCUUAACUGUGGAACUGCCUUUGAUACUGUUAGUCUUGAGUUAUAUGGAAGUAGAUAGAAUGUGUAGUGUAGCGGUGAAAAGCAUAGAUAUUACACAGAAUACCGAUUGCGAAGGCAGUCUACUACGUAUAUACUGACGCUAAUGGACGAAAGCGUGGGGAGCGAACAGGAUUAGAUACCCUGGUAGUCC
This 229-nucleotide ribosomal RNA is filed under the name uncultured bacterium. RNAcentral describes it as "partial 16S ribosomal RNA". It matches the Rfam family "Bacterial small subunit ribosomal RNA", at positions 568 to 796 of the family's 1533-position model. The record is from RNAcentral.